Drosophila sulfurigaster albostrigata is the source of this 1723-nucleotide long non-coding RNA. RefSeq lists it as uncharacterized. The record is from RefSeq and is a predicted model, not a curated record. Lineage: Eukaryota; Metazoa; Arthropoda; Insecta; Diptera; Drosophilidae. The transcript has 2 exons.
UAUAUGGUGAGAGGGAGGUACGCACCAGGGGCCUUAAAUUUUUCUAAACUCUGAGUUCUCACGCGGCCGACGUUGCUCUCAUGCAGAGAUUUGUUGAUAAUACGGCAGACACUGAGACCACAUUCAAAGCAUUAGAGCCCAGCUCAGUAUUUCAUUAUUUACCAACACAUCUUAAAAUAGAGAUUUCGGUAUAUAUAAUUUCAUUGCGUAGACUUCAGUGUAAGUACAGUGAAAAUUCUCACCGCCAUGCUCUCAUAGUCUGAUAGUCGAGACAUUUUUGUUCGCUCAAGGUCAGUAUCCGCUUAAACAAUUUGACAGUACUCUAAAAGCAAUAACAUAAACCAAAGGAAAAGUGUCCGCUAAAUGGAAUAUCCGGUUAAUAGGGUGUCCUCUAAGGGAGGAGGGAACAAAUAAGUUCAAUAACACACUUCAAACAGGACAAUAAGGAGUAGGAGUAGAAGGCGAUUAUAAGUGUGUACCAUUAGAAAAAGUAUGUUAAAGGUAAAAGGAGGCAUCUAAGACUCUGAAUUAUAUAAAGUCCUGAUCAGCAACCAUAACCAUGGCCGUCUGUUCGUGUAGCUCUCAAAGAUUAAAAAAGAUUUAAGGAACUUUUUUACAACUCUUGUUAUUGAUGUACACUUGAUCGACUUUUGAGUAGACACAAUAAUAACUAAAAACUAAAAACUGAUGAUUACUAUAUGAUUUGGUUGUUAUUACAUAAAAAAACUUAGAAGCUAUUCAAGAAUUUAUUUUUAUAACAAAAUUGUAGAUGCCAGUGCUUAAUUGUUGGCAAUCUGGCUAAUGAAGAUUUACCGUAAGGAAACUUUCACUGCAUUCUUAAUCAGAGUCAACAGCCUAGACAAUAUAUAUAUACUAUGUAGCUACCUGUGUGAGUCUCUGUUAAAAGGCCAUAAAUUUCGAAGGUGUAGAUUAAGUUUGUUUUAUAAUUUUUUAACAGCUCUUUGAAUAAAAUAUACGUUUCUAUAAGCUUUUUCCAUAACUAUUCUAAUAUUAACAGUAUAGCAAUUUAGUAUAAUACAUUUUAAGUACAUGCAUAAAUAACAUACUACUAUGUAGGAGGGGCUAAUUAUACUUAGUGUAUAAAACAAUAUUGUACACAUAUAAAUAUGAACUAAUUGCUUUUAUUUCCUCCUGAUAAGAAACAACUUUAAUCGUGAAUUCAAAUUUGUUUGAAAGCAAAAACGAUGUUCUCGUCUCGAUAAGCGCACAAACGUCUCAUUGUUCAUUUGUGACAGAAAAAAUUACAGUUCACAAAAAUAUUGCUUGAUUGGGUUUAAUAAAUGAAAGUACACAAAGUUCAUUUGAGUUAUAUUUUUAUUGAGUAACGACAAAGUUACAAUCGUAUCUUUAAACACAAAUAAGAAAGAAAGGCUACAGCCGAGCAAAUGCUACGCGUGAAUUACACCAGGGAAACGACUUUAGCGCUAAAAUAUUCCGAAAUAAAAACAGAAGGAAGCAUCUUCGACUCCAUAAAUAUAAUGAAACCUUCCUUAGCGGUCAACUCUGUUAAGCCGACUACUUUAAACGACAGUGUGUAUCCAUUCGAAAAAGAUUACCCCUAAAGAUUACGGCUAAAAUAGCGACCUGUAAUGCAUAAGGUGUAUGAGCAUACGAAUUAUUAUUAAAGAAUUUAAUAUUUUAAGCCAAUCAUAAGUGGAUUUGAUUUGUAUUUAGUAAUUAUCAUCAUAAAACAAGAUUUCAU